Molecule: ribosomal RNA, 491 nt
Filed under: uncultured bacterium
Lineage: Bacteria
Description: partial 16S ribosomal RNA
Rfam family: Bacterial small subunit ribosomal RNA
Source: RNAcentral
AGUGAACGCUGGCGGUAGGCCUAACACAUGCAAGUCGAACGGAAGCACAGUAAGAGCUUGCUCUUACGGGUGGCGAGUGGCGGACGGGUGAGGAAUACAUCGGAAUCUACUUUUUCUUGGGGGAUAACGUAGGGAAACUUACGCUAAUACCGCAUAUGACCUACGGGUGAAAGCAGGGGAUCUUCGGACCUUUCGCGAUUGAAUGAGCCGAUGUCGGAUUAGCUAGUUGGCGGGGUAAAGGCCCACCAGGGCGACGAUCCGUAGCUGGCCUGAGAGGAUGAUCAGCCACACUGGAACGGAGACACGGUCCAGACUCCUACGGAAGGCAGCAGUGGGAAUAUUGGGCAAUGGGCGCAAGCCUGAUCCAGCCAUACCGCGUGGGUGAAGAAGGCCUUCGGGUUGUAAAGCCCUUUUGUUGGGAAAGAAAAGCAGCAGGUUAAUACCCCGCUGUUCUGACGGUACCCAAAGAAUAAGCACCGGCUAACUUCGUG